UUUGAAUGUAAUUAUAAAGUAUUUGAUUUCGAAGGCUUAGUUCCUAUCUCUUCCUUUUCUCUUCUUCCUUUUCUCCUGCUGCUACAGUACCUGGGUGCUGUUCACAGCCUUCUAAAUCCUAAUUUAUUUUCUAUCUGAAUUCCCUGCACAUAAUCAUUCUUUUUCUUGUGAUCUCAUUUUCCAUAUUUCAACUUUUUGUCUUCUCUUUUUGCUCUACUUGCAUCUGUCUAGCAUUG
RNAcentral lists this unclassified non-coding RNA (236 nucleotides) under Hevea brasiliensis (rubber tree). The record is from RNAcentral. Lineage: Eukaryota; Viridiplantae; Streptophyta; Magnoliopsida; Malpighiales; Euphorbiaceae.